AUGUGGUGGCGGCAUUACCCCCGCAACCACGUCGGCGAUGACAAGACGCAGUUUGUCGCCGUGGCUACGGGUGGUUUCAGGCACAGCAUGUGCAUACCGCAGGAGGUUGGAAAUCAUUUGGGGAGCAUGAUCUCGGAGACCAUCAAACUAGAAGCUCCUAAUGGCAUAUUCCAUAUUGGAGUGUGUAGAAGAAAGACGGGUGAGCUAGUUCUUCGGGCUGGCUGGGAUAAGUUUGUCGCAAUGCAUCACAUAGAAGAAAAUUAUUCUUUUUGGUUUGUGUACCGUGGGAACUCUACCUUUAAGGUUCAUAUAUUCAAUUCUAACGGUCGUGAGAAGGCUACUUUCUGUUCUAAACCACCUUCUGAGAGCUUUGGUGGUGUUCCACCUGCCGCAACUUGCCAUCAUCAUGUGCUGAAUGAACAAGUACCGUCUGUUUCUGGAAAUGUUCAGACCUCAACUGACUCUGGCUAUAGCAUGUUACCUGGCUGCCAUCUAGCACAAGAUGAGAAAGUACGUGAACUAGCUUGUACAAUGAGAUCUCAAGUUCCCCUUUAUGUGGCAGUCAUGAACAAAAGCAAUGUCAACUUGAAGAAUUGCUCUGUUAACCUACCGUUAAAGCUUGUGGAACAUUUCAAGGAGGACACAUCUAAAGCUACUAUUCAACUAGAAGCCCCUAAUGACAUGAUAUAUGGUGUUGAAGCUUGCAAGCAUGGUGAUGAUCAAAUAGUCCUCCAAUAUGGGUGGAAUAAUCUUGUACUCCCUCUGUAA
RNAcentral lists this ribosomal RNA (768 nucleotides) under Triticum aestivum (bread wheat). RNAcentral's name for it is "partial small subunit ribosomal RNA". Lineage: Eukaryota; Viridiplantae; Streptophyta; Magnoliopsida; Poales; Poaceae. The record is from RNAcentral.